RNAcentral lists this ribosomal RNA (253 nucleotides) under uncultured bacterium. RNAcentral's name for it is "partial 16S ribosomal RNA". It matches the Rfam family "Bacterial small subunit ribosomal RNA", at positions 524 to 776 of the family's 1533-position model. The record is from RNAcentral.
UACGUAGGUGGCAAGCGUUGUCCGGAUUUACUGGGCGUAAAGGGCGUGCAGGCGGUUUGUUAAGUGCAGGGUGAAAGCUCCCGGCUCAACUGGGAGAGGUCCUUGCAUACUGGCAAACUCGAGGGAGGCAGAGGAAAGUGGAAUUCUCGGUGUAGCGGUGAAAUGCGUAGAUAUCGAGAGGAACACCUGCGGCGAAGGCGGGUUGCUGGGCUGACACUGACGCUGAGGCGCGAAAGCUAGGGGAGCGAACGGG